RNAcentral lists this ribosomal RNA (445 nucleotides) under uncultured bacterium. RNAcentral describes it as "SSU rRNA". It matches the Rfam family "Bacterial small subunit ribosomal RNA", at positions 26 to 518 of the family's 1533-position model. The record is from RNAcentral.
AGAACGAACGCUGGCGGCAUGCCUAACACAUGCAAGUCGAACGAGACCUUCGGGUCUAGUGGCGCACGGGUGCGUAACGCGUGGGAAUCUGCCCCUCGGUUCGGAAUAACAGUUAGAAAUGACUGCUAAUACCGGAUGAUGACGAAAGUCCAAAGAUUUAUCGCCGAGGGAUGAGCCCGCGUAGGAUUAGCUAGUUGGUGAGGUAAAGGCUCACCAAGGCGACGAUCCUUAGCUGGUCUGAGAGGAUGAUCAGCCACACUGGGACUGAGACACGGCCCAGACUCCUACGGGAGGCAGCAGUGGGGAAUAUUGGACAAUGGGCGAAAGCCUGAUCCAGCAAUGCCGCGUGAGUGAUGAAGGCCUUAGGGUCGUAAAGCUCUUUACCCGGGAUGAUAAUGACAGUACCGGGAGAAUAAGCUCCGGCUAACUCCGUGCCAGCAGCCGC